UUCUACCCAGAGAGAGACGACACAAAUCUAAAACUCUCUCCAUCAUGUCAGCUCUCAGUCACUGGUUCUGAACUGAUCAGGUGGACAGGACGAAGUUCUCCUGGAACACUUCAUAUUACUUGUUACUACGCUUUGGAUAACUCUGUUCGUACUCCUUCUCCUCACUCUCUCCCAGCUCCAGUCACAGUGCGGUAUCAGAAACCGAGACUAAGCGUCAGUCAUGAUGGUCAGUUUGAUGAAUUGAGAUUUGUGUGUGAAAUAUCAGGGUCAGAGUCAGUAACUGCUGAUUUUAGCUGUAAUCUCUACACUGGAGAAAAUCCUCAGCUUUUCCUAAACCAAACAUCUCAAAAGAGAAAAUCUGGGAAGGUUUGUAGUUUUACAGCACAGAGAGACGCUGUGUUUAAUCGUCUGCAGUCAGUAAAGAGUCGUGAAGUGAGCUGUGAUUAUUCACUGAUCUCUGACCCGACUGCUCGCUCUCUAAUGAGUGAUAAAUACAACAUGACGCAUUUCAUUACAACAACAACAAGAACAACAACAACAACAACGACUCAGACAUCCACUCCUGAAGAGAAACCCAGUGCAGGAACAACAGCAACAACAACAACAACAACAACAACAAUAAAGAGUGAUAAAUACAACAUGACACGUUUCUUUCCUACACCAACACAGCCGUCCAUCACUACUGAGAAA
Molecule: long non-coding RNA, 690 nt
Organism: Ictalurus punctatus (channel catfish)
Lineage: Eukaryota; Metazoa; Chordata; Actinopteri; Siluriformes; Ictaluridae
Source: Ensembl